AAGACUAUAGACCUGCGGAGUACCUGCGGAAGGAUCAUUACAGAGUUUUCUAAACUCCCAAACCCAUGUGAACUUACCAUUGUUGCCUCGGCGGAGCCUACCCUGUAGCUACCCUAUAAGGUGGUUACCCUGUAGCGCCCCGCCGGUGGAUUUUCAAACUCUUGUUAUUUAUAGUAAUCUGAGAGUCUUAUUUUAAAUAAGUCAAAACUUUCAACAACGGAUCUCUAGAUCGGAAGAGCA
RNAcentral lists this unclassified non-coding RNA (240 nucleotides) under soil metagenome. Its description in RNAcentral is "partial contains 5.8S ribosomal RNA, internal transcribed spacer 2, and large subunit ribosomal RNA". The record is from RNAcentral.